UACGUAGGGGGCAAGCGUUAUCUGGAUUUACUGGGUGUAAAGGGAGCGUAGACGGCCAUUCAAGCCAGAUGUGAAAGCCCGGGGCUCAACCCCGGGACUGCAUUUGGAACUGUAUGGCUGGAGUGUCGGAGAGGCAGGCGGAAUUCCUAGUGUAGCGGUGAAAUGCGUAGAUAUUAGGAGGAACACCAGUGGCGAAGGCGGCCUGCUGGACGAUGACUGACGUUGAGGCUCGAAAGCGUGGGGAGCAAACAGG
Molecule: ribosomal RNA, 253 nt
Filed under: uncultured bacterium
Lineage: Bacteria
Description: partial 16S ribosomal RNA
Rfam family: Bacterial small subunit ribosomal RNA
Source: RNAcentral